UCGAGGUGGGCUGUUCCCUAACGAACCUUCUUAAUAAGAAAACCCACAAAAAUACUUGUCAGUUAUGCAUCAUUCUCCAAAGUUUAUUAUGAAAUUUUCAACAUUACUUUUAUUAUACUAAAAUUUGUGAAGUCUUACAACAAAUUUACUACUCAAUUCAACACAGUAGUGACAAUUUCCCUCAACUUGUUACGUAAAUAAUCUGUAACUAAUUCAUAACAAAAAAAGAAAUAUAUUGGUUGGAUGGGACUACCCACAAAAAAAACAAAAAAAUAGUAUGGGCUUAAUCCUUGGCAAUGCACCGGGUCAUAGU
Arabidopsis thaliana (thale cress) is the source of this 313-nucleotide long non-coding RNA. RefSeq annotates it as other RNA. Lineage: Eukaryota; Viridiplantae; Streptophyta; Magnoliopsida; Brassicales; Brassicaceae. The transcript has a single exon. The record is from RefSeq.